CUCUUUCGCUUGCUCUCCCUCUCCCCUUCCCUGGCAGCACCCUCCUCCCCUGGCCCACCAGUAACUCCCACCCCCUCCUUAACGGUCCCGCGGAAGCUUCUCACUGCAGCGCCCUUACCGGAAGUGACUGGGCAGACACUUUUCAUAGCGCCCAGAUCCCGAAGCCCCCAGGUCCGCAGGACUUGAAGGGGGAGGGGGACACCACUGACCCACUACCGAAUAGAGCCUGAACUUUGAUACAUUUCCCAGUAAUGUAGCUGCAAAUCCUUUUACAUUCCUAAAAGAAUCAUUUUUCUAAGAUGGCUGGCCAGAGUUAAGGGUGCAUUCCAAGGCCAAGAAACAGGAAGCUCAGAGAUUUAAUCUCCUGUCUUACCUGGGACCAUCUGCAAAGCACAUGUUUUAAUGUAUUGCAAUAGCUAGAAGUAAAUACCUGAAACUAUCAAACUGCAACCCAGUAGCCUUGACUCUUCAAGAUGAUUUUAUAGCAAUGGAGCUUACAAGAGUUGAAAGUGAUUGUGAAAGACUUAUGGAUCACACGCCCUUUAUUCAGUGUAUGGAUGGAUGAGUAGAAAAAUGGGGACAAAAAACUAAAUGAAAAAUAGG
This is a long non-coding RNA of Choloepus didactylus (southern two-toed sloth), 603 nucleotides long. RefSeq lists it as uncharacterized. The transcript is spliced from 4 exons. NCBI's taxonomy places the organism in Eukaryota, Metazoa, Chordata, Mammalia, Pilosa, Megalonychidae. The record is from RefSeq and is a predicted model, not a curated record.